Long non-coding RNA from Tympanuchus pallidicinctus (lesser prairie-chicken), 1083 nucleotides. RefSeq lists it as uncharacterized. The transcript has 3 exons. The record is from RefSeq and is a predicted model, not a curated record. NCBI's taxonomy places the organism in Eukaryota, Metazoa, Chordata, Aves, Galliformes, Phasianidae.
UUGGAGAGGGGAGAAAACAAAGCCAUGAAGUUUAUAUUCUAUUGCAGGUUGCCUCAAACAGAUGAACUAAGGCUCAAGCAUGCUAGCAGCAGUAUUAAGACUGAUAUCUUUUGAAAGGAAACAAAAACUUAAUCCAGAAAACUCUUUUUUUUCUUUUUUUCUUUUUUUUUCUUUGCUUACUAUUAUUUUUUUUUUGCUUUCUGGAUUAUUUAUUAUUAUUUUGUGUUUCUAGAUCUUUAUUUCCUUUUCUUUAUGAUGUUACAGAAAAUUAAGAACUAAUUUCAAUCCCCCCUGAUGCAACCUGCAGCUGGAGAAAGAAGGCUUCAUCAACAGGUUCCACUUGAUACUUAAACCUCUUCUUGUCAUUGGGUUCUGUAGGCACAUACCACUGCAAUAGCGUUCUGUCCCUGGGGAAAGGGUCACCGUGAGAAUGGGGCUGCAAUUCCAAUGCACUUCCAUCAACUUUGGAGAGCAAGUAUGGGAACUCUUCCAUCUGUGCCAGCCUCUGAUAAAAAGACUAUGGAACAUAGGUGAGAAGAGACACCUCCUGCUCCUGUGAAGCCUCACUAUCCACCUUUCAGGUACAUCCCUCGGAGUAUUUCUUUCCUCUUUCAAGGCUCAUGACUCUUACAGGCAGCAGCACUUGUGUGUGGUAUUGAAGGCUUGGCUUGUGUUGUUUUCCCAGCUAUCAAUAACUCCCAGAAUAGACACCCCGAUUCCCUCUUGCCAGAUUGGACAGGCAGCAUGGGACCAACUUGACCACACUGUCUCCCAUGUCUGAACAGCACUGGGCUGCCAAGAUGAGGGUUACAUGUACACUGCAGAAGUUGGGUCUCUGCUGUGAGCCCUGGCCUCUGUUUUGAAUCCUCUCUGGGACCAGAAGACCAUGAUCACAAUGUUUUGCAUUCAUACCUCAGGGGCCUAGCAGUCUCAACAGUAUAAUUCAGGGAGUUUAACAGCAACUUUUUUCCAGCUUUAACAACUGCUCUGAAAGUCAAAUCUCUUAAAUCUCUUUAAUCUCUUAAAGUGCCAAAUGUAAACAAAUGCCACUCUGCAUAAAAAUGUCUUUUUUUUUUUUUUUUU